UGACACUGAACCUUUAUCAAUCAAUCAUGUAUUGUUUUGGACAUAAAUCAGUCCGUUAGUUUUCUCGUUUGAUUUGCAUUACAUUUGUCAUGUCGGGGCCUUUUAUAUCUUACUAGCUAUGUGACAUGGGUUUAUACUCAUUAUUGCAGGUCGUAUGAAGACACAUAUUUAUUAACCUUCCUGUAGAAUGGAAAUCAUUAUGUUGGUAGCUGCAUUGUACAAGUAAAAAGGGUACGGUUAGAACGCACGUUAACUGGUUUUACUCCGUGUGUUUUAGUAGUACCACUCGGUCGAUAUAUUUAAUGGUGAACUGUGAUCGUGAAGGGUAUUAAGCCGAAAAGCCUUUACCUCGGG
RNAcentral lists this long non-coding RNA (354 nucleotides) under Mytilus galloprovincialis (Mediterranean mussel). Lineage: Eukaryota; Metazoa; Mollusca; Bivalvia; Mytilida; Mytilidae. The record is from RNAcentral.